CCUACGGGCGGCAGCAGUGAGGAAUAUUGGUCAAUGGGAGAGAUCCUGAACCAGCCAAGCCGCGUGAGGGAAGACGGCCCUAUGGGUUGUAAACCUCUUUUGUCGGAGAACAAAACCCGGGACGUGUCCCGGACUGCGUGUAUCCGAAGAAAAAGCAUCGGCUAACUCCGUUCCAGCCGCCGCGGAAAUACGGAGGAUGCGAGCGUUAUCCGGAUUUAUUGGGUUUAAAGGGUGCGUAGGCGGUCCGUUAAGUCAGCGGUAAAAUUGCGGGGCUAAACCCCGUCGAGCCGUUGAAACUGGCAGACUUGAGUUGGCGAGAAGUACGCGGAAUGCGCGGUGUAGCGGUGAAAUGCAUAGAUAUCGCGCAGAACUCCGAUGGCGAAGGCAGCGUACCGGCGCCAGACUGACGCUGAGGCACGAAAGCGUGGGGAGCGAACAGGAUUAGAUACCCCUGUAGUC
RNAcentral lists this ribosomal RNA (459 nucleotides) under uncultured bacterium. Its description in RNAcentral is "partial 16S ribosomal RNA". It matches the Rfam family "Bacterial small subunit ribosomal RNA", at positions 338 to 795 of the family's 1533-position model. The record is from RNAcentral.